GAAAGCAUUUGCCAAGGACGUUUUCAUUAAUCAAGAACGAAAGUUAGGGGAUCGAAGAUGAUCAGAUACCGUCGUAGUCUUAACCAUAAACUAUGCCGACUAGGGAUCGGGUGUUGUCCUUUUUUUGGCGCACUCGGCACCUUACGAGAAAUCAAAGUUUUUGGGUUCUGGGGGGAGUAUGGUCGCAAGGCUGAAACUUAAAGGAAUUGACGGAAGGGCACCACCAGGAGUGGAGCCUGCGGCUUAAUUUGACUCAACACGGGGAAACUCACCAGGUCCAGACACAAUAAGGAUUGACAGAUUGAGAGCUCUUUCUUGAUUUUGUGGGUGGUGGUGCAUGGCCGUUCUUAGUUGGUGGAGUGAUUUGUCUGCUUAAUUGCGAUAACGAACGAGACCUUAACCUACUAAAUAGUGCUGCUAGCAUUUGCUGGUACGACACUUCUUAGAGGGACUACCGAUUUCAAGUCGGUGGAAGUUUGAGGCAAUAACAGGUCUGUGAUGCCCUUAGACGUUCUGGGCCGCACGCGCGCUACACUGACGGAGCCAGCGAGUAUUAACCUUGGCCGAGAGGUCCGGGAAAUCUUGUGAAACUCCGUCGUGCUGGGGAUAGAGCAUUGUAAUUAUUGCUCUUCAACGAGGAUUCCUAG
This 647-nucleotide ribosomal RNA is filed under the name Yamadazyma mexicana. RNAcentral describes it as "SSU rRNA". It matches the Rfam family "Eukaryotic small subunit ribosomal RNA", at positions 947 to 1617 of the family's 1831-position model. Lineage: Eukaryota; Fungi; Ascomycota; Pichiomycetes; Serinales; Debaryomycetaceae. The record is from RNAcentral.